UUGGGUUAAAAGAUUAAGAGCCCUAAUCAGGAUAGUUUCUUAACUACCACGAUCUAAAUUCUUAUCAUCUUCUUAGAUUUUCUCACGGAUUAAUAUUUUACUCUCUCUCAUCCCAUUCAUAUUUCUUUUUGUAUUUACUCAUGAGCAUGUUUAAUUUUUGUUAUCUAUUUAUAUACUUUCUUAUUGCUAGUUAUUUACUGAUCUCU
This 206-nucleotide long non-coding RNA is filed under the name Elaeis guineensis (African oil palm). Its description in RNAcentral is "long non-coding RNA (EGUI_LNC051380)". The record is from RNAcentral. Lineage: Eukaryota; Viridiplantae; Streptophyta; Magnoliopsida; Arecales; Arecaceae.